Helicoverpa armigera (cotton bollworm) is the source of this 501-nucleotide long non-coding RNA. RefSeq lists it as uncharacterized. The transcript is spliced from 2 exons. Lineage: Eukaryota; Metazoa; Arthropoda; Insecta; Lepidoptera; Noctuidae. The record is from RefSeq and is a predicted model, not a curated record.
UCUAGGCCGAUGCACCUAAGAAUAGUUUUUUUUUGCUUUUCAGUGUUUUUGGGAGUCGGUUUUAUUUUUUUGUAAAAAGUUUUUUAUUUUUAGCUUUUUAGUGACAAGCAUAGUUGUCACUAUCCGCAUAAGUGUAAAGUUCUUAUCAAUACGAACAAUAUAAGCCCAAACACGAGGUAGUUUACACAUUCAUUGUUCAAGUUCCCUCAACCUUCUCUGGACUUCAUCAUCAGGUCAGCUUCAAACCUUCACCACUGCAUAGUGUUAUCAGACAUACGCCUUAGUGUCAAGCUUUUACCCUACGUAUGCCUACAAUUUUCGAAAGUUGCCCUCGAUUUCUCAGGGUUUCCAUCAUCAGAUCCUGACCUGGUGACUAUGGGACCACCUGGGAGGUAAACCCUAUUAAACAAAAAAAAAAAUUUGCAAAUCGGUCCAGGCGUCUCCGAGUAAUCGGUGAACAUACAUAAAAAAUAAAAAAAAAAUAAAAUAAAAAAAAAAAAA